GGAGAAGUACUCAAGUGGCUGAAGAGGACGGUUUGCUAAACCGUUAGGGUGGGCAACUGCCGCGAGGGUUCAAAUCCCUCCUUCUCCGCCA
RNAcentral lists this transfer RNA (91 nucleotides) under Syntrophobotulus glycolicus DSM 8271. RNAcentral describes it as "tRNA-Ser (GCT) (tRNA-Ser-GCT-1-1)". It matches the Rfam family "tRNA". From Rfam's summary of the family: Transfer RNA (tRNA) molecules are approximately 80 nucleotides in length. Their secondary structure includes four short double-helical elements and three loops (D, anti-codon, and T loops). The record is from RNAcentral. Lineage: Bacteria; Bacillati; Bacillota; Clostridia; Eubacteriales; Desulfitobacteriaceae.